Molecule: ribosomal RNA, 325 nt
Filed under: Salmonella enterica subsp. enterica serovar Montevideo
Lineage: Bacteria; Pseudomonadati; Pseudomonadota; Gammaproteobacteria; Enterobacterales; Enterobacteriaceae
Description: bacterial SSU rRNA
Rfam family: Bacterial small subunit ribosomal RNA
Source: RNAcentral
GGGAAACUGCCUGAUGGAGGGGGAUAACUACUGGAAACGGUGGCUAAUACCGCAUAACGUCGCAAGACCAAAGAGGGGGACCUUCGGGCCUCUUGCCAUCAGAUGUGCCCAGAUGGGAUUAGCUUGUUGGUGAGGUAACGGCUCACCAAGGCGACGAUCCCUAGCUGGUCUGAGAGGAUGACCAGCCACACUGGAACUGAGACACGGUCCAGACUCCUACGGGAGGCAGCAGUGGGGAAUAUUGCACAAUGGGCGCAAGCCUGAUGCAGCCAUGCCGCGUGUAUGAAGAAGGCCUUCGGGUUGUAAAGUACUUUCAGCGGGGAGG